UCUUUCCGUCGGGGAAUCGAACCCCGGUCGCCUGCGUGACAAGCGGGAAUACUGACCACUAUACUAUUG
Molecule: transfer RNA, 69 nt
Filed under: Cordylochernes scorpioides
Lineage: Eukaryota; Metazoa; Arthropoda; Arachnida; Pseudoscorpiones; Chernetidae
Description: tRNA-Asp
Source: RNAcentral